GUCUGUUUGAAGGUAUAAAGAGUCUGAUCUGCCCACUGAAAUUAUUUAAGGGCCGCGGUAACCUGACCGUGCAAAGGUAGCAUAAUCGUUAGUUUUUUAAUUGGAAUCUUGUAUGAAUGAUUGGACAAGGGGAAGACUGUCUCUUUAUUUAUUUUUGAAUUUAACUUUUAAGUGAAAAGGCUUAAAUGAUUUAAAAAGACGAUAAGACCCUAUAAAGCUUAAUAUGUUUAGAUUAUUUAAUCGAAUUGAUAAAUAAGGAUUGGUUGAUUGAUCAUAUUUUGUUGGGGCGACAAUGGUAAAAUGUUUAUUAACUACUAAAUUUUAUGACAAAGAUUAGUGAGUAAGUAUUAAAUGAACCUGGAAUAAGAUUAAAAGAUUAAGUUACUUUAGGGAUAACAGCGUUAUUUUUUUUGAGAGUUCUUAUCGAAAAAAGAGUUUGCGACCUCGAUGUUGAAUUAAAAUGCCUACACAAUUGCAGAAGUUGUGGUAGUAGGUCUGUUCGACCUUUAAAAUUUU
Molecule: ribosomal RNA, 516 nt
Filed under: Ocypode stimpsoni
Lineage: Eukaryota; Metazoa; Arthropoda; Malacostraca; Decapoda; Ocypodidae
Description: partial 16S rRNA
Rfam family: Bacterial large subunit ribosomal RNA
Source: RNAcentral